Pteropus alecto (black flying fox) is the source of this 1293-nucleotide long non-coding RNA. RefSeq lists it as uncharacterized. The transcript has 2 exons. The record is from RefSeq and is a predicted model, not a curated record. Lineage: Eukaryota; Metazoa; Chordata; Mammalia; Chiroptera; Pteropodidae.
GGGAAUACGCUCCUCUCUCGCCCCCACCUUCGCCCAGCCACCAUCUGUCGCUCCUGGGGGUCCAGGACCUUCUUAUGGAACCUCUCGUUCCCCCGAGUCCCCUGCCCCCGUAACCCGUUCCCAUCCCCAGCCAGAGGAUCCAGGUGGCGCUUCCCCCUCAGUCCCUCCCCUGGCUGCAUUACUCCCCGAGGGCAGAUACUUAAGAUUGUUGCUUGAGUGGACAGAGCUGUGGCUGGCGCCAGGAGCAGGCUGGACCUCCUAACGGCCCACUCUGGUGCUUUGGGGCGUAUGCAGAUGUGAAAUUCCAGAAGCGGAGUUGCUGGGAACCACCAUCCUGUCCACAGCUGCUGCCUCGUUGCACAGUGCCACCCGCGCGUGAGGGUUCCAGUCUCGCCACAUCCUUGCCAACACUUGUUAUUUUCUGGGUUUCGUUUUUGGUUUUGAUAAUAACCACCGUGAUGGGUGCAUGGUGUUGGGGCACAAGAUUUUGACCUCAGGGACCGCUGUCAAAUACACACCCUGUGCGCCCCCACCUUGUCAGGAAUCCUACCCUGGGCCCUCACCUGCUCCUCAGAGAACCUGGCCCACGCCGGUGCCCUGGGAUCGUCCCUCGAGGGGCUGGUCCAGAGGCCCUAUGUGCUGGCACGUGACCUCAGGAGGGAGGGACGGGGCUGUCCACUCGUCCUCUUCGGCGGGGCCCUCCUCACACCUCCUCCCAGGCCGGCUGGCUCAUUCCCCAAGCAGACACCCCCCUUUGGCCAAUCUCCGCAAGUGGAAAAAGAGAAUUUAAACCAGAGGUGUCAUAUGAGGAACCUUUAGAAUAGACUUUCUAUGGCAGAGUGCCCCCCCUAGGCACUGGUGACAUCAGGCAGGUCACACUGUGGGAGGCCGUCGUGAGCACUGUGGGGUGAUGAGCAGCAUCCCUGGCCUCACCCACUCGAUGGCAGGAGCGCCCCCAGUGUGACACCCACAGAUGUCCUCAGGGACUGCCAAGGACCCUGCAAGCUAAAACGAGGCUAAGGAGGCACUUUCCCAGGGCACAAAUUUAGAGGGUGCCAAAUACCUCAGUCAUUAGAAGGAAUGGUGUCUAAUGUAAUAUUGUAACAAUUCAAAAUGAAUGCAAAAAACUUGUGAACAAAAUGUCAGAAUUCUAAGUAAAUACAGGAUUGAACAGUGCUGUACGAGGCCACUUCGGAGACCAAGACAAAGUGAGAAAUGUGCCCUUUAUAUAUGUUUUUACGUUCUUUAAAUGGUUAACUUUUACCCCCGAUCAUUAAAGUGGUUGAAAAAGUA